AGGGAGAACAGCGAGAACUCCAAUUCCAGUAGCCACAACCCGCUGGCUUCCUCGCUCAAUGGCAGCGGCAAGUCGGUGCUAGGCAGUUCCGAGGACGAGAAGACGCCGUCGGGGACUCCAGACCACUCGUCAUCCAGUCCCGCACUGUUGCUCAGCCCGCCGCCGCCCCCUGGGUUGCCUUCCCUACACAGCCUGGGCCACCCUCCGGGCCCGAGCGCAGUGCCCGUGCCAGUGCCCGGUGGAGGCGGCGCGGAUCCACUGCAGCAUCACCACAGCCUGCAGGACUCCAUACUCAACCCCAUGUCGGCCAACCUUGUGGACCUAGGCUCCUAGAGCUCUGCUCGCCUCCCGGCGCUUGCUUUCCGUGCUUGGUGCGGGGACUUGAGAGGCGGUGUGGGAGGGCGGUAGAUUGGAGUCUGGACCGGGUACUGGAAGACUGCCCUGCCACGCUGGAGCGGCAGAACCGGCGGCGGGACAAAGUGGACAAUGGUCUGCUCGGGGUCCUUUGCGGGAUUCAUUCUCAAGUUGCUUUUGAGAUCCUUUGGAGGCCAGGGACCUAGUCUUGAACUGGGCAAGGGAAUAAAUUAUAAACGACCACCACCCCUUUUAAAAUCUCUUCCCUUUCUCUUGCUCUUUUCUUUCCUCCAUUUUCCCUUCGGGUUUCUUAUGUCUCCUCUUUUCAUUUUUUUCUCUCUGCCUCUUUUUGCUUUUCUUUUUCCCCUUUAUACAUUUCUGGAUCUCUCUCUCUCUCUCUCUCUCUCUCUCUC
Molecule: long non-coding RNA, 767 nt
Filed under: Rattus norvegicus (Norway rat)
Lineage: Eukaryota; Metazoa; Chordata; Mammalia; Rodentia; Muridae
Description: long non-coding RNA NONRATT024794
Source: RNAcentral